This 230-nucleotide ribosomal RNA is filed under the name uncultured bacterium. RNAcentral's name for it is "partial 16S ribosomal RNA". It matches the Rfam family "Bacterial small subunit ribosomal RNA", at positions 562 to 791 of the family's 1533-position model. The record is from RNAcentral.
AAAGGGUGCGUAGGUGGGCAGGUAAGUCAGUGGUGAAAUCUCCGGGCUUAACCCGGAAACUGCCGUUGAUACUAUCUGUCUUGAAUGUCGUGGAGGUGAGCGGAAUAUGUCAUGUAGCGGUGAAAUGCUUAGAUAUGACAUAGAACAUCAAUUGCGAAGGCAGCUCGCUACACGGUUAUUGACACUGAGGCACGAAAGCGUGGGGAUCAAACAGGAUUAGAUACCCUAGU